GUGGGGAAUCUUAGACAAUGGGCGCAAGCCUGAUCUAGCCAUGCCGCGUGAGUGAUGAAGGCCCUAGGGUUGUAAAGCUCUUUCAGCUGGGAAGAUAAUGACGGUACCAGCAGAAGAAGCCCCGGCUAACUCCGUGCCAGCAGCCGCGGUAAUACGGAGGGGGCUAGAGUUGUUCGGAAUUACUGGGCGUAAAGCGCGCGUAGGCGGACUGAAAAGUUGGGGGUGAAAUCCCGGGGCUCAACCUCGGAACUGCCUUCAAAACUAUCAGUCUGGAGUUCGAGAGAGGUGAGUGGAAUUCCGAGUGUAGAGGUGAAAUUCGUAGAUAUUCGGAGGAACACCAGUGGCGAAGGCGGCUCACUGGCUCGAUACUGACGCUGAGGUGCGAAAGCGUGGGGAGCAAACAGGAUUAGAAACCCGUGUAGUCC
Molecule: ribosomal RNA, 425 nt
Filed under: uncultured bacterium
Lineage: Bacteria
Description: partial 16S ribosomal RNA
Rfam family: Bacterial small subunit ribosomal RNA
Source: RNAcentral